UACGUAGGCAGCAAGCGUUGUUCGGAGUUACUGGGCGUAAAGAGUGCGUAGGCGGUCUUUUAAGUUUGGUGUGAAAUCUCCCGGCUCAACUGGGAGGGUGCGCCGAAAACUGGAAGGCUCGAGGAUGGGAGAGGCAUGCGGAAUUCCUGGUGUAGCGGUGAAAUGCGUAGAUAUCAGGAGGAACACCUGCGGUGUAGACAGCAUGCUGGACCAUUUCUGACGCUGAGGCACGAAAGCGUGGGUAGCAAACAGG
This 253-nucleotide ribosomal RNA is filed under the name uncultured bacterium. RNAcentral's name for it is "partial 16S ribosomal RNA". It matches the Rfam family "Bacterial small subunit ribosomal RNA", at positions 524 to 776 of the family's 1533-position model. RNAcentral also lists the same sequence under 1 other name. The record is from RNAcentral.